RNAcentral lists this ribosomal RNA (468 nucleotides) under uncultured bacterium. Its description in RNAcentral is "partial 16S ribosomal RNA". It matches the Rfam family "Bacterial small subunit ribosomal RNA", at positions 28 to 507 of the family's 1533-position model. The record is from RNAcentral.
GACGAACGCUGGCGGCGUGCUUAACACAUGCCAGUCGAACGGAAAGGCCCUGCUUUUGUGGGGUGCUCGAGUGGCGAACGGGUGAGUAACACGUGAGUAACCUGCCCUUGACUUUGGGAUAACUUCAGGAAACUGGGGCUAAUACCGGAUAGGAGCUCCUGCUGCAUGGUGGGGGUUGGAAAGUUUCGGCGGUUGGGGAUGGACUCGCGGCUUAUCAGCUUGUUGGUGGGGUAGUGGCUUACCAAGGCUUUGACGGGUAGCCGGCCUGAGAGGGUGACCGGCCACAUUGGGACUGAGGUACGGCCCAGAAGCCUACGGGAGGCAGCAGGGGGGAAUAUUGCACAAUGGGCGGAAGCCUGAUGCAGCAACGCCGCGUGCGGGAUGACGGCCUUCGGGUUGUAAACCGCUUUCGCCUGUGACGAAGCGUGAGUGACGGUAAUGGGUAAAGAAGCACCGGCUAACUACGUG